UACGAAGGUCCCGAGCGUUGUUCGGAAUCACUGGGCGUAAAGGGAGCGUAGGCGGCGUGGUAAGUCAGAUGUGAAAUCCCGGGGCUCAACCCCGGAACUGCAUCCGAUACUGCCGUGCUAGAGUUUUGGAGAGGUAGCUGGAAUUUACGGUGUAGCAGUGAAAUGCGUGGAUAUCGUAAGGAACACUCGUGGCGAAAGCGAGCUACUGGACAACAACUGACGCUGAGGCUCGAAGGCCAGGGUAGCGAAAGGG
Molecule: ribosomal RNA, 253 nt
Filed under: uncultured bacterium
Lineage: Bacteria
Description: partial 16S ribosomal RNA
Rfam family: Bacterial small subunit ribosomal RNA
Source: RNAcentral